UUCCGGUAUUCGGAUUUCGGCUAAGCGUGGGAGCUGCAUGCCGCAAGAACACGAUUGGCUGAACCAAACGACAAAUUUCCGCAUAAAUAUCGCGACAAAAUCGGAAAGCGACGGAAGAGUUUAACAAACAGCUGUCCGGUGUGUUACUCGCCGUGCGUGACUUACACGUCGAGCUUGUAACACAAUCUGGAGAUAACAACCGACCUAUAUAUACCGGGUCGUCCGGGAAAAGCAAGCGAACGAACGACAUACAUAAUCAUACUACAAGUGUAACGAGGGCAAUACUGAAGGAAAUACAUUAUCUUAACGUUGGAACAAGCAAGUGUUUUAUCUUCGAUCACCGAGCGGCCCUUCCUACGAGCCCUAACUCCUAAGGCGCCGAAAAGAUCCCAAUAUACCUAUCGACGUAACCGGAGCCAUCACCGAGGCACAACAAAUGUGUUGAGGCAUUACAUCAUUAAUAUCCCUUCAUAAGACAUAUAAUAUGUUAUUGUUGGUUCGCAGAACUCUCUGACCGGCAUUAGCAUUUGACGCGUCAAUAAUUUGUUUUGGUAUUAUACUAUUGACUGUAUUACUUAUAUUGUGCUAUGCUAUCAAUAUAACAUAUAAGUGUAUCCUACUACAAUGCUUAUAAAUGCAACAGUACCUAUUAGUUCACAUUUCUAAAAACAACUGCAAAUGUUAUUCAAUUCAUUAACGAGAAAAAAAAUCUAUCAGUUAAGAGAUAAUAUAUUAAAUAAUUAUAUUUCGUGUUUUCGCCUGUUUUUAUUAUGUCUGAUUGUUUCAUACAGUUAUAGAAUUAGCGUCGGAAAAUUUUCAUCAUAAACUGAAGAAAAAAAAAGAGUAAAGUUAUGGAUCGUUGCUUAUUUUGUGCUAUGGUGUCGGCUUUACCAAAAAUUAGAACUUGAAUAGAUAGCUGUUGCGUAAUAUAUGAUUUAGAGAUUUAAGAUAAAUGUAAAUCUAGUCAGAUUUUAUUGCGCAUAUAUAUGUAAAAUAAAUAAACAGUUCUAUUUUUUUAUAGUUUAUUUUUGUUCUUACAAUUUCAAAUAUCACAUGUCUACAAUAUAUCUGCAGAACACCCACCUAGCACCAUUAUAUCCUGAGUUACGCAAUUGUGCUUAAUUAUACUCUUGUAACAUACUUAGAUUAUUUCAACUUGCUUUCAGUAUACAAAAUUAAAUACUUUCCGAAUAUGUAUGAUUGUAUUUAAAGAAAUUUAUUUAACAAAUAAAAACUAAAAGGAUUUUAUAGAA
Long non-coding RNA from Solenopsis invicta (red fire ant), 1253 nucleotides. RefSeq lists it as uncharacterized. NCBI's taxonomy places the organism in Eukaryota, Metazoa, Arthropoda, Insecta, Hymenoptera, Formicidae. The transcript has 2 exons. The record is from RefSeq and is a predicted model, not a curated record.